AAUGGGGAAACCCAGUGUGUUUCGACACACUAUCAUUAACUGAAUCCAUAGGUUAAUGAGGCGAACCGGGGGAACUGAAACAUCUAAGUACCCCGAGGAAAAGAAAUCAACCGAGAUUCCCCCAGUAGCGGCGAGCGAACGGGGAGGAGCCCAGAGCCUGAAUCAGUGUGUGUGUUAGUGGAAGCGUCUGGAAAGGCGUGCGAUACAGGGUGACAGCCCCGUACACAAAAAUGCACAUAUUGUGAGCUCGAUGAGUAGGGCGGGACACGUGGUAUCCUGUCUGAAUAUGGGGGGACCAUCCUCCAAGGCUAAAUACUCCUGACUGACCGAUAGUGAACCAGUACCGUGAGGGAAAGGCGAAAAGAACCCCGGCGAGGGGAGUGAAAAAGAACCUGAAACCGUGUACGUACAAGCAGUGGGAGCCUCUUAAUGGGGUGACUGCGUACCUUUUGUAUAAUGGGUCAGCGACUUAUAUUCUGUAGCAAGGUUAACCGAAUAGGGGAGCCGAAGGGAAACCGAGUCUUAACUGGGCGUUAAGUUGCAGGGUAUAGACCCGAAACCCGGUGAUCUAGCCAUGGGCAGGUUGAAGGUUGGGUAACACUAACUGGAGGACCGAACCGACUAAUGUUGAAAAAUUAGCGGAUGACUUGUGGCUGGGGGUGAAAGGCCAAUCAAACCGGGAGAUAGCUGGUUCUCCCCGAAAGCUAUUUAGGUAGCGCCUCGUGAAUUCAUCUCCGGGGGUAGAGCACUGUUUCGGCAAGGGGGUCAUCCCGACUUACCAACCCGAUGCAAACUGCGAAUACCGGAGAAUGUUAUCACGGGAGACACACGGCGGGUGCUAACGUCCGUCGUGAAGAGGGAAACAACCCAGACCGCCAGCUAAGGUCCCAAAGUCAUGGUUAAGUGGGAAACGAUGUGGGAAGGCCCAGACAGCCAGGAUGUUGGCUUAGAAGCAGCCAUCAUUUAAAGAAAGCGUAAUAGCUCACUGGUCGAGUCGGCCUGCGCGGAAGAUGUAACGGGGCUAAACCAUGCACCGAAGCUGCGGCAGCGACACUAUGUGUUGUUGGGUAGGGGAGCGUUCUGUAAGCCUGUGAAGGUGGCCUGUGAGGGUUGCUGGAGGUAUCAGAAGUGCGAAUGCUGACAUAAGUAACGAUAAAGCGGGUGAAAAGCCCGCUCGCCGGAAGACCAAGGGUUCCUGUCCAACGUUAAUCGGGGCAGGGUGAGUCGACCCCUAAGGCGAGGCCGAAAGGCGUAGUCGAUGGGAAACAGGUUAAUAUUCCUGUACUUGGUGUUACUGCGAAGGGGGGACGGAGAAGGCUAUGUUGGCCGGGCGACGGUUGUCCCGGUUUAAGCGUGUAGGCUGGUUUUCCAGGCAAAUCCGGAAAACC
RNAcentral lists this ribosomal RNA (1388 nucleotides) under Escherichia coli. RNAcentral's name for it is "partial 23S ribosomal RNA". It matches the Rfam family "Bacterial large subunit ribosomal RNA", at positions 117 to 1551 of the family's 2925-position model. Lineage: Bacteria; Pseudomonadati; Pseudomonadota; Gammaproteobacteria; Enterobacterales; Enterobacteriaceae. The record is from RNAcentral.